GCUGGUGGCUAUGGCGUGGGGGUUACACCCGUUCCCAUCCCGAACACGGCCGUUAAGCCCCACCGCGCGAAUGGUACUGCUGGUUUAUCCGGUGGGAGAGUACGUCGCUGCCAGCU
Molecule: ribosomal RNA, 116 nt
Filed under: Gemmatimonadota bacterium
Lineage: Bacteria; Pseudomonadati; Gemmatimonadota
Source: RNAcentral